CCUGGGGGUCUUAUAAAAAGGCAGAUUCUGGGGUGAGGCCUGAGUUUCUACAUUUCUUCCAAGAAGAUCCCAGGUGAUGCUGAUGCUGCUGGUCCAUGGACCACACUUUGAGUAGCAAGACGCUAGAUGACUUCUUCCCCAACUUUCUCAUUCCAUAGGUGAAACUGGAUCCUAGAAAAGCAAAGUGAUUUACCCAAGCUCACACAACAGUUGGGUAGUACACCCUAUAUAAGAAUUCAUGGUAUCAUGACUAUCAGUUUGAUGACAAUAUCACUUGCUACAUCUCUCAUAUGGCUUCUGCUGCUAAAAGCCAUUUGAGGAUGACAUUUUGUGGUUCACCUGUCUUAGAAGGCGUUCUGGGCUCAGUAUUUUGGCCACAUUAUCUCAUUCACUUUCACAAUUUCACCUCAAACAUAGGCAACACAGUCAUCCCUUGGUAUACCCAGGGGAUUGGUUCUAGAAAUUCGUGCAUGCUCAAGCCCGCCAUCAGCCCUGCAGAACUUGCAUACAGGAAAAGUCAGCCUUUUGGUAUCCUGUGAAUACUGAAUUUUCAAGCUGUGCUUGGUUGAAAAAAAUUCAUGUGUAAGCAGACCCUUGCAAUUCAAAUCCACAUUGUUCAGGGGUCAACUGUGGUUGUUAGGAAAAUUAGAUUUGUUGCAUUAACUAAUUUCAUGGCUUUAAUCUCCAUCUAGAAUUCCCCUUGCAGGUUUGUGCAUUGUGCACAGAGAGGAAG
This 733-nucleotide long non-coding RNA is filed under the name Homo sapiens (human). Its description in RNAcentral is "HSALNT0057587". The record is from RNAcentral. Lineage: Eukaryota; Metazoa; Chordata; Mammalia; Primates; Hominidae.